Molecule: non-coding RNA, 75 nt
Organism: Danionella cerebrum
Lineage: Eukaryota; Metazoa; Chordata; Actinopteri; Cypriniformes; Danionidae
Source: the annotation of a GenBank genome assembly
CCUUUCCUGUGGCUCAGUUGGUAGAGCAUUGCGCUAACAACACCAAAGUUGUGGGUUCAACUUCCAGGGAAAGCA